Molecule: long non-coding RNA, 1169 nt
Organism: Chinchilla lanigera (long-tailed chinchilla)
Lineage: Eukaryota; Metazoa; Chordata; Mammalia; Rodentia; Chinchillidae
Exons: 3
Source: RefSeq, a predicted model, not a curated record
UGGCUUCUUCCCACUCCAUCAGACUUAGUCCAAUGUUACACCAGGUAACAUGACAAACAAGAGCUUGUGAGCCCUGGAGAGCUCCUCCAGAGCAGGAGAGACAUAUAGUCUUCACAAGGAGCCCAGAGCAGAGCCCUCAUGGAAGUGGCCUCAGAUCUUCCAGGAUUUAAGAUGGCCUAGCUAUGGAAUCACCUCAGACUACUUCAGGAGCAGCUAGCAACCUGUGCACGCUGGAUGGCUCUAUCCCUCGGAGGGGUCUUUCAUCUCUGCACUGCUCAGUAUGAGCACGACUGGACAGUUCUCUCACGCUUUUGCUCAGUGUUCACCUUCUGGGUGUUCUUCAUGAUACGGAUCCAUUCUGCUUUUGGAGUCUCCCAGUGGAAAUUCCCCAGAGAACCUUAUUGUCUGAUUUAACUAUGACUUUUAUUGCCUGCAGAACUUUGUUUACUCCUAGAAUACUUGCCAAAUUCAGAUGGGCUGCUUCAGAUGACGGGGUGACUAUGCAUCAUUCUGAGGGCAGGGAGCAAGCUUUUGUGGGACAGAAAUGGCCAGCCUCCUUUGAGGAACUGCCAGAGUCCUCUCUCUUCAGCAUACCAGGCAUUGGAGGGUAGGAGGCUAGUUUUUCUUUAAAGAGGACUCUGAGGAAAGAUUGACUCAUUCAAAACACAUUUUAUAAAUUUCUAGUCCCCUGAAUAAUACCUAGAGGUUUCUCUCCAGGAGAAUGGAUCGCAACACAAGGGCACAGCUCUAAUGGAACUGUGGGGGCAAACCCCCACACACACCUUUUUUCUCCUACCUAGAACCAAGUUAAGAAGAGAUCUUAGAGGAUUCACAGUUACUCAGUGAGUUACUUCCACAUUUCUCCAAAAUCAAGAAUUGUACUUUCAAGCCUUCAAAUUCUUUGUUAAACAUGAGUUUAUGUUAUCCUCCCAACAAGGCAUUAAAGGCUGGGGACAACCUCAAUGAAAUACACAGAAUAAUGAAGGUGUAUUGAUGGUAGACAGUAGGUAGUGAGAUGUUUUCUUCCAAAACUAUCAGAGAAUCGUUGCCUACCAUAAGACAAUUUCAUAUCUGAGAAAAUUACAAUUUAACCCAUGUCCCAUCCUUUAAAGGUGAAUAAUUACAACUAAGUUAUGUCACAUUCUUGAAUGCAAGAGUGAGUUCUUACA